Molecule: long non-coding RNA, 674 nt
Organism: Canis lupus familiaris (dog)
Lineage: Eukaryota; Metazoa; Chordata; Mammalia; Carnivora; Canidae
Exons: 4
Source: RefSeq, a predicted model, not a curated record
CCAUCCUCCUCCCUCCAGCGGGCAGGGCGAGGUGGCCCCUAAGGGGUCACUUCCCCAUCCACCCCCCACAGGCAGAGGCCCGGGCCGGGAGCUCAAGCGGCUUUCUCAAAGCCACUGCUCACUCCCCCAGACACCUGCCAGGGACCGCCUGUUAACCCUCCUGGCGACAGCCACCCCGCAGCCCCUGGGCACCUGAGCCAGGUGCUUCGGGCUUGUAACCCAGACAACCGUGUGGGGGGCUUUCAGGCCUUUUCAGGUGAAGAAAGGAAGGCCAAGGAGGCAAGGAGACUGCCCAAGGUCACACAGCUCCAACCGCACAGCUAGAAUUUUUCUGCCCCAACUUCUUAUUUCAUUUUAGAGGCUAUCAUAACCAGCAUCCGUCUUUGCCUUCCUGAACUUGACUAAGUGCCUUAGGAUGCUCAGAAUCCUGUUGAGGAAACUGCCUUGGAGGGAAGCUGGAAAACAGAAUACUCCAUCCCAAGUGUGACUUGCUAGCUGUGGGACUGCAAGAGUGGGGCGGCCAAGCCCCUCUCCAGGCUAUGUCUGAAAGAGGAUUCCAAGGUUGACUUGAAAAAAGAAAGAAAAAUAAAGGGCGCCUGGCUGGCUCAGUCCGUGAAGCAUCUGCCUUUGGCUCAGGUCAUCAUGAUCUCAGGUUCUGGGAUAGAACCCCUGCA